ACUUUUGUAAGGCAAAGUAUUUUUUGUAGGUUUGGUGUACCCAAAGUAAUUAUCACCGAUAAUGGCACUCAGUUUGGAAGCUGCAAAUUCAAAUCUGUCUGCUCAACGUGAGGUAUUAAUCUUUGGUUCGCUUUCACUUACCAUCCUCAAACUAAUGAAAUGAACAAAAGUCACUAAUCGUACCAUUUUGAAUGGUUUGUAGCAGAGGCUAGACAAAGCUAAAUGAAGGCGGCCAAAUGAGUUACCACACGUUUUG
Molecule: unclassified non-coding RNA, 256 nt
Filed under: Hevea brasiliensis (rubber tree)
Lineage: Eukaryota; Viridiplantae; Streptophyta; Magnoliopsida; Malpighiales; Euphorbiaceae
Source: RNAcentral